Molecule: ribosomal RNA, 497 nt
Filed under: uncultured bacterium
Lineage: Bacteria
Description: partial 16S ribosomal RNA
Rfam family: Bacterial small subunit ribosomal RNA
Source: RNAcentral
GAUGAACGCUGGCGGCGUGCCUAAUACAUGCAAGUCGAGCGAACAGACGAGGAGCUUGCUCCUCUGACGUUAGCGGCGGACGGGUGAGUAACACGUGGAUAACCUACCUAUAAGACUGGGAUAACUUCGGGAAACCGGAGCUAAUACCGGAUAAUAUAUUGAACCGCAUGGUUCAAUGGUGAAAGACGGUUUUGCUGUCACUGAUAGAUGGAUCCGCGCCGCAUUAGCUAGUUGGUAAGGUAACGGCUUACCAAGGCAACGAUGCGUAGCCGACCUGAGAGGGUGAUCGGCCACACUGGAACUGAGACACGGUCCAGACUCCUACGGGAGGCAGCAGUAGGGAAUCUUCCGCAAUGGGCGAAAGCCUGACGGAGCAACGCCGCGUGAGUGAUGAAGGUCUUCGGAUCGUAAAACUCUGUUAUUAGGGAAGAACAAAUGUGUAAGUAACUAUGCACGUCUUGACGGUACCUUAUCAGAAAGCCACGGCUAACUACGUG